Coregonus clupeaformis (lake whitefish) is the source of this 174-nucleotide long non-coding RNA. RefSeq lists it as uncharacterized. The record is from RefSeq and is a predicted model, not a curated record. The transcript has 3 exons. NCBI's taxonomy places the organism in Eukaryota, Metazoa, Chordata, Actinopteri, Salmoniformes, Salmonidae.
AUGACACCAAAGCUAAGAGUCCAAUCAAGCAGGAGAGACCAGCCUCCCCUGUACCCAGCUGUGUGUCCAUGAAGAGUGACCAGUCUAUGGGUCCUCCUAUAAACUUAAGAGAGGGAGACUUUUCUAGUGAACAAAGAAUCCAACAGGAGAGAUCAGAGUCAGAGAUUCUCAGAG